UGGGGAAUCUUCCGCAAUGGACGAAAGUCUGACGGAGCAACGCCGCGUGAGUGAAGACGGCCUUCGGGUUGUAAAGCUCUGUGAUCCGGGACGAAAGAGCCUGAGGUAAAUAGCCUAAGGAAGUGACGGUACCGGAAAAGCAAGCCACGGCUAACUACGUGCCAGCAGCCGCGGUAAUACGUAGGUGGCAAGCGUUGUCCGGAAUUAUUGGGCGUAAAGCGCGCGCAGGCGGCUUCCUAAGUCCAUCUUAAAAGGGCGGGGCUUAACCCCGUGAUGGGAUGGAAAGUUGGAAGCUGGAGAAUCGGAGAAGAAAGUGGAAUUCCUAGUGUAGCGGUGAAAUGCGUAGAGAUUAGGAAGAACACCGGUGGCGAAGGCGACUUUCAGGACGAAAACUGACGCUGAGGCGCGAAAGCGUGGGGAGCAAACAGG
This 429-nucleotide ribosomal RNA is filed under the name Fusobacteriota bacterium. Its description in RNAcentral is "Fusobacteria bacterium partial 16S ribosomal RNA". It matches the Rfam family "Bacterial small subunit ribosomal RNA", at positions 355 to 776 of the family's 1533-position model. The record is from RNAcentral. Lineage: Bacteria; Fusobacteriati; Fusobacteriota.